GACGAACGCUGGCGGCGUGCUUAACACAUGCAAGCCGAACGCUGAAGCUCAGCUUUUGUUGGGUGGAUGAGUGGCGAACGGGUGAGUAACACGUGAGUAACCUGCCUCCUUCUUUGGGAUAACGCCCGGAAACGGGUGCUAAUACUGGAUAUUCACUGGUCUUCGCAUGGGGGUUGGUGGAAAGGGUUUUUCUGGUGGGGGAUGGGCUCGCGGCCUAUCAGCUUGUUGGUGGGGUGAUGGCCUACCAAGGCUUUGACGGGUAGUCGGCCUGAGAGGGUGACCGGUCACAUUGGGACUGAGAUACGGCCCAGACUCCUACGGGAGGCAGCAGUGGGGAAUAUUGCACAAUGGGCGCAAGCCUGAUGCAGCGACGCCGCGUGAGGGAUGGAGGCCUUCGGGUUGUGAACCUCUUUCGCUCAUGGUCAAGCCGCAACAAUGGUUGUGGUGAGGGUAGUGGGUAAAGAAGCGCCGGCUAACUACGUG
RNAcentral lists this ribosomal RNA (483 nucleotides) under uncultured bacterium. Its description in RNAcentral is "partial 16S ribosomal RNA". It matches the Rfam family "Bacterial small subunit ribosomal RNA", at positions 28 to 507 of the family's 1533-position model. The record is from RNAcentral.